AAAUUGAAGAGUUUGAUCAUGGCUCAGAUUGAACGCUGGCGGCAGGCCUAACACAUGCAAGUCGAACGGUAACAGGAAGCAGCUUGCUGCUUCGCUGACGAGUGGCGGACGGGUGAGUAAUGUCUGGGAAACUGCCUGAUGGAGGGGGAUAACUACUGGAAACGGUGGCUAAUACCGCAUAACGUCGCAAGACCAAAGAGGGGGGACCUUCGGGCCUCUUGCCAUCAGAUGUGCCCAGAUGGGAUUAGCUAGUUGGUGAGGUAACGGCUCACCAAGGCGACGAUCCCUAGCUGGUCUGAGAGGAUGACCAGCCACACUGGAACUGAGACACGGUCCAGACUCCUACGGGAGGCAGCAGUGGGGAAUAUUGCACAAUGGGCGCAAGCCUGAUGCAGCCAUGCCGCGUGUAUGAAGAAGGCCUUCGGGUUGUAAAGUACUUUCAGCGGGGAGGAAGGUGUUGUGGUUAAUAACCGCAGCAAUUGACGUUACCCGCAGAAGAAGCACCGGCUAACUCCGUGCCAGCAGCCGCGGUAAUACGGAGGGUGCAAGCGUUAAUCGGAAUUACUGGGCGUAAAGCGCACGCAGGCGGUCUGUCAAGUCGGAUGUGAAAUCCCCGGGCUCAACCUGGGAACUGCAUUCGAAACUGGCAGGCUUGAGUCUUGUAGAGGGGGGUAGAAUUCCAGGUGUAGCGGUGAAAUGCGUAGAGAUCUGGAGGAAUACCGGUGGCGAAGGCGGCCCCCUGGACAAAGACUGACGCUCAGGUGCGAAAGCGUGGGGAGCAAACAGGAUUAGAUACCCUGGUAGUCCACGCCGUAAACGAUGUCUACUUGGAGGUUGUGCCCUUGAGGCGUGGCUUCCGGAGCUAACGCGUUAAGUAGACCGCCUGGGGAGUACGGCCGCAAGGUUAAAACUCAAAUGAAUUGACGGGGGCCCGCACAAGCGGUGGAGCAUGUGGUUUAAUUCGAUGCAACGCGAAGAACCUUACCUGGUCUUGACAUCCACAGAACUUUCCAGAGAUGGAUUGGUGCCUUCGGGAACUGUGAGACAGGUGCUGCAUGGCUGUCGUCAGCUCGUGUUGUGAAAUGUUGGGUUAAGUCCCGCAACGAGCGCAACCCUUAUCCUUUGUUGCCAGCGAUUAGGUCGGGAACUCAAAGGAGACUGCCAGUGAUAAACUGGAGGAAGGUGGGGAUGACGUCAAGUCAUCAUGGCCCUUACGACCAGGGCUACACACGUGCUACAAUGGCGCAUACAAAGAGAAGCGACCUCGCGAGAGCAAGCGGACCUCAUAAAGUGCGUCGUAGUCCGGAUUGGAGUCUGCAACUCGACUCCAUGAAGUCGGAAUCGCUAGUAAUCGUGGAUCAGAAUGCCACGGUGAAUACGUUCCCGGGCCUUGUACACACCGCCCGUCACACCAUGGGAGUGGGUUGCAAAAGAAGUAGGUAGCUUAACCUUCGGGAGGGCGCUUACCACUUUGUGAUUCAUGACUGGGGUGAAGUCGUAACAAGGUAACCGUAGGGGAACCUGCGGUUGGAUCACCUCCUUA
Molecule: ribosomal RNA, 1543 nt
Filed under: Salmonella enterica subsp. enterica
Lineage: Bacteria; Pseudomonadati; Pseudomonadota; Gammaproteobacteria; Enterobacterales; Enterobacteriaceae
Description: bacterial SSU rRNA
Rfam family: Bacterial small subunit ribosomal RNA
Source: RNAcentral